This 468-nucleotide ribosomal RNA is filed under the name uncultured bacterium. RNAcentral's name for it is "partial 16S ribosomal RNA". It matches the Rfam family "Bacterial small subunit ribosomal RNA", at positions 28 to 507 of the family's 1533-position model. The record is from RNAcentral.
GACGAACGCUGGCGGCGUGCUUAACACAUGCAAGUCGAACGGAAAGGCCCUGCUUUUGUGGGGUGCUCGAGUGGCGAACGGGUGAGUAACACGUGAGUAACCUGCCCUUGACUUUGUGAUAACUUCAGGAAACUGGGGCUAAUACCGGAUAGGAGCUCCUGCUGCAUGGUGGGGGUUGGAAAGUUUCGGCGGUUGGGGAUGGACUCGCGGCUUAUCAGCUUGUUGGUGGGGUAGUGGCUUACCAAGGCUUUGACGGGUAGCCGGCCUGAGAGGGUGACCGGCCACAUUGGGACUGAGAUACGGCCCAGACGCCUAAGGGAGGCAGCAGUGGGGAAUAUUGCACAAUGGGCGGAAGCCUGAUGCAGCAACGCCGCGUGCGGGAUGACGGCCUUCGGGUUGUAAACCGCUUUCGCCUGUGACGAAGCGUGAGUGACGGUAAUGGGUAAAGAAGCACCGGCUAACUACGUG